UUGAUCAUGGCUCAGAUUGAACGCUGGCGGCAGGCCUAACACAUGCAAGUCGAGCGGUAACAGGGGAAGCUUGCUUCCCGCUGACGAGCGGCGGACGGGUGAGUAAUGUAUGGGGAUCUGCCCGAUAGAGGGGGAUAACCACUGGAAACGGUGGCUAAUACCGCAUAAUCUCUUAGGAGCAAAGCAGGGGAACUUCGGUCCUUGCGCUAUCGGAUGAACCCAUAUGGGAUUAGCUAGUAGGUGGGGUAAUGGCUCUCCUAGGC
This 263-nucleotide ribosomal RNA is filed under the name uncultured bacterium. RNAcentral's name for it is "partial 16S ribosomal RNA". It matches the Rfam family "Bacterial small subunit ribosomal RNA", at positions 13 to 274 of the family's 1533-position model. The record is from RNAcentral.